UGUGCAUGUUUCACAUGAUGGUUUGGAGAGCAGGUAGUAUAUGGUGUGCAUGUUUCAGAUGAUGGUUUGGAGAGCAGGUAGUAUAUGGUGUGCAUGUUUCAGAUGAUGGUUUGGAGAGCAGGUAGUAUAUGGUGUGCAUGUUUCAGAUGAUGGUUUGGAGAGCAGGUAGUAUAUGGUGUGCAUGUUUCAGAUGAUGGUUUGGAGAGCAGGUAGUAUAUGGUGUGCAUGUUUCAGAUGAUGGUUUGGAGAGCAGGUAGUAUAUGGUGUGCAUGUUUCAGAUGAUGGUUUGGAGAGCAGGUAGUAUAUGGUGUGCAUGUUUCAGAUGAUGGUUUGGAGAGCAGGUAGUAUAUGGUGUGC
This 357-nucleotide long non-coding RNA is filed under the name Haliotis rubra (blacklip abalone). Its description in RNAcentral is "uncharacterized LOC124286194, transcript variant X3". Lineage: Eukaryota; Metazoa; Mollusca; Gastropoda; Lepetellida; Haliotidae. The record is from RNAcentral.